GAGCCGCAGCUCUGCCGCCGGGGGAGAGAGGGUAUACAAAGUGACCAAAAAUUUGCAAUUCUCGACUUUGAGUGAUGUAGUGGGAGCGGAAGUGACCUCACUCUGCACGCGCUUCGGCGACAGGAUACCAUAAAAAGGACUGGGCGGGCACUUAGUGUCACCACGCCAGCCGGUUCACAGCUUCCACACAUCGGAUAUCCAAGUCAAGCAUUUCCAUUCAGGUUCUGAUGACGUUCGUCUCACAAUCUUUUGCGGCUCGAGGAGGCAGGUGGUAUGAGAAGGCUAUUUCUUGUAUUUAUUCACAAGUCAGCCCCCUGAUGACGUUUGCGGUCCAUCUGUAUGUCCUGACGUGCUGGCGUUCCCUGCAUAUGUGACAUAUGCUUUGACAUGACGCGAAACUAGUGCUUGUCAGCGUUUCUUUCCACCUCCCAUGUUGUCCAGCUAUGCCUGAAUA
Molecule: long non-coding RNA, 454 nt
Organism: Hyla sarda
Lineage: Eukaryota; Metazoa; Chordata; Amphibia; Anura; Hylidae
Exons: 3
Source: RefSeq, a predicted model, not a curated record